GAAACGGGUGGUAAUACCGCAUAAGACCACAGUGUCGCAUGGCACAGAGGUCAAAGGAGCAAUCCGCUGGAAGAUGGGCUCGCGUCCGAUUAGAUAGUUGGUGAGGUAACGGCCCACCAAGUCGACGAUCGGUAGCCGGACUGAGAGGUUGAACGGCCACAUUGGGACUGAGACACGGCCCAGACUCCUACGGGAGGCAGCAGUGGGGGAUAUUGCACAAUGGGCGAAAGCCUGAUGCAGCGACGCCGCGUGAGGGAAGACGGCCUUCGGGUUGUAAACCUCUGUCAUUCGGGACGAAUAUAUGACGGUACCGAAGAAGGAAGCUCCGGCUAACUACGUGCCAGCAGCCGCGGUAAUACGUAGGGAGCGAGCGUUGUCCGGAAUUACUGGGUGUAAAGGGAGCGUAGGCGGGAAAGCAAGUUGGAAGUGAAAUGCAUGGGCUUAACCCAUGAGAUGCUUUCAAAACUGUUCUUCUUGAGUGAAGUAGAGGCAGGCGGAAUUCCUAGUGUAGCGGUGAAAUGCGUAGAUAUUAGGAGGAACACCAGUGGCGAAGGCGGCCUGCUGGGCUUUAACUGACGCUGAGGCUCGAAAGCGUGGGUAGCAAACAGGAUUAGAUACCCUGGUAGUCCAC
RNAcentral lists this ribosomal RNA (631 nucleotides) under uncultured bacterium. RNAcentral's name for it is "bacterial SSU rRNA". It matches the Rfam family "Bacterial small subunit ribosomal RNA", at positions 153 to 798 of the family's 1533-position model. The record is from RNAcentral.